CUUCAUCUCAUUUCCAUCAUCCUUCACGUGUAUAUAACUCUCAUACACCUGUGGCUUCAAUGACCUCUUCACGACCCAUACUUUGUGAUACCCAGAGGCGACCAUUCUUCAUGUUUACCCAACCCCAUGCAUCCCAUUAAACAUCUCUCAUAUCCAUUUCUCUUCAUGCUGUCACAUUCUUUUCCCACGCACCACUUCCCUCUCUACACCGCAGCCAUACCUUUUCUCCCUC
RNAcentral lists this long non-coding RNA (232 nucleotides) under Vitis vinifera (wine grape). RNAcentral describes it as "long non-coding RNA (VVIN_LNC005353)". The record is from RNAcentral. Lineage: Eukaryota; Viridiplantae; Streptophyta; Magnoliopsida; Vitales; Vitaceae.